RNAcentral lists this ribosomal RNA (303 nucleotides) under uncultured bacterium. RNAcentral describes it as "bacterial SSU rRNA". It matches the Rfam family "Bacterial small subunit ribosomal RNA", at positions 355 to 674 of the family's 1533-position model. The record is from RNAcentral.
UGGGGAAUAUUGCACAAUGGGGGGAACCCUGAUGCAGCGACGCCGCGUGGGUGAAGAAGUAUUUCGGUAUGUAAAGCCCUAUCAGCAGGGAAGAAAGAAGACGGUACCUGACUAAGAAGCACCGGCUAAAUACGUGCCAGCAGCCGCGGUAAUACGUAUGGUGCAAGCGUUAUCCGGAUUUACUGGGUGUAAAGGGAGCGCAGGCGGCGCGGCAAGUCUGAUGUGAAAGCCCGGGGCCCAACCCCGGUACUGCAUUGGAAACUGCCGUGCUUGAGUGUCGGAGGGGUAAGUGGAAUUCCUAGU